UCACGGUGAGGAUGCGUACACCGGAUAUUGCCAUUAAGUGAUAAGGUAUUUUCCGAAAACGUGAUUAUUUUUCGUCAACAAGAUGGCAUUAGACUUCACAGCGAAAAUAACAAGCACCAGUUUGAACACUGAUAUUACAA
Molecule: long non-coding RNA, 140 nt
Organism: Mercenaria mercenaria
Lineage: Eukaryota; Metazoa; Mollusca; Bivalvia; Venerida; Veneridae
Exons: 2
Source: RefSeq, a predicted model, not a curated record